CUUUAAAAGAAUCACUUAUAAAGGAAGAAAUGAAACCCGGGGAUGAUCAGAAGUCUGAAUUAAUUUUUUUGUUAUUUUACUUUCGUGUUUUUCUGCUUUCUUCAAGGUGAUGGUAUUAGGAGGUAGGGACUUUGGUAGGUGAUUAGGUCGUGAGGAUGGAGUCGUCAUAAAUGCAAUGAGUGCUCUCAUAAAAGAGGCCCCAGAGAGCUGCCGCAUCCCUUCUGCAUGUGAAAAUGCAUCAAGAAAAUGGCCCUCACCAGACACCAAAUCUACCAGUUCCUUAAUUUGGGACUUCCCAGCUUUCAGAACUGUGGGAAAUAAAUUUCUGUUGUUUAUAAGCCACUCAGUUUAUGAUAUUUUAUUAUAUAACUGCCCACACUAAAAUAAUUAUUAUUUGGUAUGUCUCUCCAGCAUUGUACCCUACUGUCUAUCACUAUAGGCACUUAGAGAUGUGUUGUUUUUGAAUGGCUGGUCACAGGGUCUAAUUGAAGUCACUCGUGCCUCUUCAGGCUCAGCAACUCAACUAUAGUCUGGUAAUAGUAUCUUUGGCCAAACAGUAUAGAAAUAAACAACACGGUGGGUUCAGAUCUUACCAACGAUCCGAACCCUAAUUAGUUGAAAACAUACCAAGAAUGUUGCCAUC
RNAcentral lists this long non-coding RNA (643 nucleotides) under Pan troglodytes (chimpanzee). RNAcentral describes it as "long non-coding RNA NONPTRT012448". Lineage: Eukaryota; Metazoa; Chordata; Mammalia; Primates; Hominidae. The record is from RNAcentral.